UUUUAUGUCUGGUUAUUAAUGUCAUCAUGCUCUACAGAUAGAGACCAGGAAAAGGCUUUUAGGUUCUCAUAUCCUGAGUUUCAGGAAUUUCUCCUCAUUUUCCUGCCAAGAGAGUCAGAUUCAAGAAGGUGUGAGUAAACCACUGCGACAACAGAAUAUUUAAUAUUCUCUUAUUUAGUAAAUUGCAUUGAAAUUAUCAUAAAUAAUUCAGCUAGUAUAAAUAAAUAUAAAUUCAACCGGAAAGGAAAGAUUUUCCCAAAGAUCCAAGGUUCAGGAGACAGGAAGGCAAGUUUUAGACCUGAUGUUGACUGAAUCAGUAGUGAGCUAUUGAAGCUUAAUCUCAGCAUAAUAUCAUAAAUUAUGAAACAUUGACAUUUCACUUUGAAUUAAUGCAAAAGAGCUAUUUAUACGCUGUUUUAGAGACAGUUGCUUGAACAAAUUAAUCCACUUUUUCCAUCACCAGGCCAAAUGUUAACAACACUGCUAUUUUUCAAAGUAUCAAACUAUUUGCAUAUUGGAACUGUUUUAAUACAAUCUGUCCCCCAGGGCUGCUGUGUGAGUUACUUUGAAAAGGUAAUCAGUCAUAAUUCACUGGCUCCUUAAUCCAUAAUCUAACUUGAUUCAGUAUACUACCGGUGAUUUUCAGUAUGAGAGAUUGCUUGUUUUCAUGCACUUGCUUUCUGUUUGAGAGCCACAGGCCACCAACGUAGGAAGAGACAUUCAAUGGGCUACAAUUGCCUUUCUGGGCUUGCUACCAAUAAAAGGUCUGGAUAGCAGUGGAAGAAUGAGGCAUGAGCAAGAAGCAAAAAUAUUCCAUAUACUUGCCUGAAUUUUGAACUUUGAAUACAAAAAUCUUCUGAUUCAGAAGUGCCUCAAGACUGAUGUGAACAAAUCACAGUCCAAUAUCCCCCAUAACCCAGUCUCAUUCAAGCCCAGCUAUGUUUAUCACUGUCUCAAAGAGGAGUGCAUCAAAUCCACAGACUCCCUUCCCAGGGAACAGACCUGCCAGUCAAAGAGGGUUGCGAUGUCAUCAGUGAGCUGAAGGCAAAUCACAGGAGGUGAUGCUGGAACGCUUACCCUCCAUCAAGGUACAAUAAAUACUUCUGCAAUUUCUCCUUGGAGCACUCUGAGGUGUUUUCCAAGCGGUGUGAUAUCUGUCACAAAGUCAGAUGAUCUGCAGUGCUGCUGACAUCAAUAUGUACUACUCACAUUUCCCCACAGCACCAGCAGCCUUUGGUCUGGCAUUUGGCAUCAGUGCAGAGGGUGUGGCAUCCUCCCCUCAACACUGGCUGGUGAGAUCAGCUGGAAGAGGACUGCUCUGUCAUGCUGGGCUGGCUCCAGACUAUUAAGCAUUUUUCUUUUUAAACCUUAUAAAACUGGGAGGCUGCCACCAAGUUGUCUGUUGGCCUUUGAUCCAUGCUAACAUCUAAUCCAUGGCUAGAAGAAGGUACUUGGCCUGGGACGCAUAGUGUCAGGGACUCUCUGACAAGUUAGCAGUCUGGAGGACUGAUUUCCAGUGCUUGAGAACAUUCCUGGCGCUAUUUGUAAGCAGAAGUGUAUAUAAGCUUACAAGCAUAUGUGUAAGCAUACUCUCUAACUACUGUUUUCCCACAAACCCUGUCAUUUUUCAAUGAUCCUUCAUUUAUUCAAUCCAGAUAGGAGCUGGUUCCUUUGAUUUACAUUUUUUACACUCCUUCAUGCUCCUGCAUAUUUUAAAUCUGCAGAGAGUGUUUGUGAACUUCCAGUCUGAUUGCCCACGUAACACUGCAUUUCCCCAUCAGUCGACAAAAGUGAUAGUUAAAUGGUUAAGGCGUUCCCUUUAUAAGCAAACAACCUGUUCUUUUGGCUCUUCUUGAUGCACUUGGAAAUGUUCACUGAUAGAUUUAAAUUAGCAGGAUACCACUUAGAAUGCAACUACACCAGCUUCUAGUCUGCUUUCAUUUUGAAACAGGGCUUCUGUGCUCAUAUUCUCUGCGUAUCUAUCUGUCACUCUCUUCCCCUGGGUUUUUUUGGCUUGUGCAAUUUCAAUCACAUUUAGCAGUGGUCCCAAAGAGAUUAUUUUUUGACAAGUUCUAAUAUAACAGAGGGUGGAUUGAUGAGAGAGAUGCUGUUAAUAUCCCUGGGAUAAGGGCCACAACAUGCACUCAAGUGUUAUUAAGGCACCAAGAGUACAUCUGCAAGGCAUAGUUCCAUAGGAGACCAGGCUUCCUCAGUUUCACUGACUACAGAUACUGCAUGUUUUGUCCUUAUCUACCAAUCUGACCAUAAUAUUCAUCUUCUGGAUUUCUUCCCGAUUUAUUUUCAAAUUCAUUCCCAGUGGGGGUCCUGUAUGGUUGGGAUUUCUACUUUUUCUACUCCUAUGUAAAUCUGAACAAAAUUCCUCGAUCUGAUUCCAACAGGCAUUUUUCUUUGAAAAAUUACUUUGAUAUGAACACAAAAGUAGCAUCACUAGGCCAGGAAAGCUCAAAACUUUGUUUUUCAUGCAAAUGAGUAAGAGUCUUUCAGCAAUUUUCAGCUUGAAUGUCUAUUCUGUUUAUGGAUCACAGCAGAAGGAAAAGAAGGAAGUCAUAAAAAUAUUUUUGGAGUUGAAUUAUAAAUGGAAAAGAUGUUCCAGAAAUCACCUCUGCAUCACUCAGUCUCUGGUGCUGGCACACUGUGCCUCGGGACUUGCUGCUGGGUUUUUGAACAAAAUCUGUAAACUGGAAAAAUAAACCCGUUUGUGGCUCUGAUUUUGUGAUGUCUAUGCACUGAACU
Cyanistes caeruleus (blue tit) is the source of this 2754-nucleotide non-coding RNA. The record is from RefSeq and is a predicted model, not a curated record. NCBI's taxonomy places the organism in Eukaryota, Metazoa, Chordata, Aves, Passeriformes, Paridae.